GACGAACGCUGGCGGCGUGCCUAAUACAUGCAAGUAGAACGCUGAAGGAGGAGCUUGCUCUUCUGGAUGAGUUGCGAACGGGUGAGUAACGCGUAGGUAACCUGCCUGGUAGCGGGGGAUAACUAUUGGAAACGAUAGCUAAUACCGCAUAACAGUAGAUGUUGCAUGACAUUUGCUUAAAAGGUGCACUUGCACCACUACCAGAUGGACCUGCGUUGUAUUAGAUAGUUGGGGGGGUAACGGCUCACCAAGGCGACGAUACAUAGCCGACCUGAGAGGGUGAUCGGCCACACUGGGACUGAGACACGGGCCAGACUCCUACGGGAGGCAGCAGUAGGGAAUCUUCGGCAAUGGACGGAAGUCUGACCGAGCAACGCCGCGGGAGUGAAGAAGGUUUUCGGAUCGUAAAGCUCUGUUGUAAGAGAAGAACGAGUGUGAGAGUGGAAAGUUCACACUGUGACGGUAUCUUACCAGAAAGGGACGGCUAACUACGUG
RNAcentral lists this ribosomal RNA (495 nucleotides) under uncultured bacterium. RNAcentral describes it as "partial 16S ribosomal RNA". It matches the Rfam family "Bacterial small subunit ribosomal RNA", at positions 28 to 507 of the family's 1533-position model. The record is from RNAcentral.